Cherax quadricarinatus is the source of this 1220-nucleotide non-coding RNA. NCBI's taxonomy places the organism in Eukaryota, Metazoa, Arthropoda, Malacostraca, Decapoda, Parastacidae. The record is from RefSeq and is a predicted model, not a curated record.
UUUGCAAUGAGUUUGAGCGGUGACCACACUGUGAGCCUGAAAGAGAUCAAUGAUUGCUCAUAUUUUAACCAAACCAGCACUUGAUACAAGGAAAUACAAUGAAGUUUAGAAGAGAAACUGAAUGGUCAUGUACAAGUUUCAGAUCUCCAGUUGCUAUGUUCAAGGUCAUAAUCAGUCAAAAUAAAAGAGGAAAUCACUAAUUUCCUAAAUGAAGAUGUUUGUUUUUUGCGCUGGCAUUGAAGAAUAUUCAAAUUACGGAGAAUUCCAGUGCAAAGUGCUUCCUGUGAUAAAAGAUGCAAAACUCCUACCAGCCCUUGCUUGGUUGCCUAUUCCCUCAGCAGGAAGUUUCCUUGGUGUUGGUAAGGGGAUUCUUUGAUCAAAGGAAUUGGACAUGACCUUCCACUGGAUCAAAUCUUAUUGCUACCCAUUUUCCCAGGCUGAAGGCAUCCACCAUGUGGCCUGCAGGCUGAAUGCAGUCUACUCGAGUGCUGCCUGUCUUGAGAUUUUUACAAAGUUUUUUACCUAAUUAGCUAGUACACAUGAACCUCUAGGACGGUACAUUCUCUACUAUAAAACUUCUAAAUCAAACAUUACACUUGCAACUGUCCAUCUUUGUACUAUUAAAUCUGAUUAAUGUUUUAUUUUUUAUUACUGCUAAAAAUCCAUUUUGAAUAACUAAAAUGUCAAACCUCACUGUUUUCAAACACCUCACCCACUGCACAUAUGUAUAUGUGGAUUUCUGAUUAUGUUGCCCACUACAAAAAAAAAAAAAAAAAAAAAAAAAACUUAAUGCAGUUUUAUCUUGUCCAUUCAUAUGUAUAUAUGACCCUUAUAUUAGUAUUUUUAACAUGCUUAUUAAAAGAAGGGGUAUAAACUUUGUGAAAUUAUAUGGUCAGAAUUUUUAAAAGAUAGAGUAUCAUACAAAGUCUUCAUAACUGUUAUAGUUUCAGGUCACCUUUGAUAACUUGCAUGGAAAUUGAACAAAUGUUUUGUUUAUCCUUUAUACCUACUACCCUUGAGCUUUCUUGGUAGAUAUAAAAAAUAAUUUGUGAAAAUCUUGCUUGAUAAUGUAACACUGAAAAUCAAGGAGUAUAUACUGUGGAACUCAAAUUAAAGUCUCCAGCAUGGAAGUCCUUCACUCUACCAUAGAAACCAUGAAUACCUGCAAUGUUUCUUAAUCCAUAACUCUUACUGAAUAUACAGGAGGCCUUCCACAUUCG